Belonocnema kinseyi is the source of this 1352-nucleotide long non-coding RNA. RefSeq lists it as uncharacterized. The record is from RefSeq and is a predicted model, not a curated record. The transcript has 3 exons. NCBI's taxonomy places the organism in Eukaryota, Metazoa, Arthropoda, Insecta, Hymenoptera, Cynipidae.
AGCGCAUACGUCUCCAUUAUGUAAAAAAUUGCUUUGAAACUUCUAGUGGGUGUAAAGGUAGAGAUACUUUUUGUGCUGUCUGUGGGUGUUACAUCAGGAAGGGGAAUCGGAGAAGUAUCAAUGGUAGAACAACAGAAUCUUAUGAAAAGUGUUUUAUAUAUCAAAAGAAAAUUGAGAUAACGAUUGAACUCCAAAAAUUUUUCAGAAGAUGAAGUUAGUUCAAAUCUUGAGAUUAAUUCAACAAAUGAUGAUGAAAUACAAGAACCUGUGAAUAGCUCCCGAGAAACUGUUGAAGAUGAUUAUGAUGAAUUAGAUGGAAAUACAUCUGAAGGAGGUAAAUUUAAUCAAGAAGAAUUAAAUGACUUUGUUCGAGAUAUGCUGCUUUCAAAAGAGAAUGCGGAGCUGUUAGCUUCAAGAUUGAAAGAAAAAAUGCUUAACUAAAGGAACAAAAGUAUCAUUAUAUCGCGGUAGAGAUCUACAAUUCAGAAAAUAUUUUUCUAAAUAAAAGAAUUUAGUUUAUUCUAAUGAUGUAAAAAAUUUGCUUGGUGAAUUUAAAUGUAUAAAUUACAAUGCAGAGCAUUGAAGACUUUUUUUAGAAUCAUCUGCAAAAAGUUUCGAAGCAAUUUUGUUACAUAAUGGAAACGUGUACGCUCCUAUUCCAGUAGCACAUUACACGGUCCGGAAAGAAGAAUAUGAGAGUCUGGAAUUUCUGUCUAAAAAAUUGAAAUACGAUGGGCAUAACUGGUUAGUAUACGAAGAUCUGAAAAUUAUAACAAUUUUGCUAGGGCAACGGAACGGUUUUACGAAAUAACUUUGUUUUUUGUGUGAGUGGGACAGUCGCGCACGUGAAAAGCACUAUGAAAUAAAAGUAUGGACAUCCAGAAAAAAUUUAGAAACCGGCUCUAAAAACAUUAUUAAAAAAUUACCACCUGUCCAAAGAGUAUUGUUUCCUCCACUGCACAUCAAGUUAGGAUUUAUUAAAAAUUCCACAAAUGAGAGAUUUUUUUAAAGAUGAACAUUUUGUAGAACUUAUGACAGAUACAGAAAAGGAUGCGUGGCAAAGUUUCAAAGAGAUUCGCAUAUUGAAUACUUCCCUGAAAAUUUGGGUGAUUUAAGUGAGGAACAGGGUGAAAGAAUGCAUCAAGCCUUGAAAGAAAUUGAGAAGACAUGGCCAGGAGUUUGAGAUGAAACCAUGUUAACAGAAUUCUGGGGCUGGAGCUUAAUGCAUGAAACCAAAAGUUGUCAUAUAAGAAAAGCCAUUCGUUAGUCAUUCCUGGGUUCGGAAAAGAGCGAGUAAAUUAGUUACAACAUCAACGAAUUUACCUUGUGUUACAGGCUUUUCGGGUUUGUGG